RNAcentral lists this ribosomal RNA (253 nucleotides) under uncultured bacterium. RNAcentral describes it as "partial 16S ribosomal RNA". It matches the Rfam family "Bacterial small subunit ribosomal RNA", at positions 524 to 776 of the family's 1533-position model. The record is from RNAcentral.
UACGGAGGGUGCGAACGUUAAUCGGAAUCACUGGGCGUAAAGCGCGCGUAGGAGGUUCGUUAAGUGGGAUGUGAAAUCCCCGGGCUUAACCUGGGAAUUGCAUUUCAAACUGGCCGACUAGAGUACGGUAGAGGGAGGUAGAAUUUCCUGUGUAGCGGUGAAAUGCGUAGAUAUAGGAAGGAAUACCAGUGGCGAAGGCGGCCUCCUGGAUCGAUACUGACGCUGAGGCGCGAAAGCGUGGGGAGCAAACAGG